RNAcentral lists this ribosomal RNA (449 nucleotides) under uncultured bacterium. RNAcentral's name for it is "bacterial SSU rRNA". It matches the Rfam family "Bacterial small subunit ribosomal RNA", at positions 340 to 779 of the family's 1533-position model. The record is from RNAcentral.
UACGGGAGGCAGCAGGGGGGAAUAUUGCACAAUGGGCGCAAGCCUGAUGCAGCCAUGCCGCGUGUAUGAAAAAGGCCUUCGGGUUGUAAAGUACUUUCAGUCGUGAGGAAGGUGUUAAGGUUAAUAACCUUAGCAAUUGACGUUAGCGACAGAAGAAGCACCGGCUAACUCCGUGCCAGCAGCCGCGGUAAUACGGAGGGUGCGAGCGUUAAUCGGAAUUACUGGGCGUAAAGGGCACGCAGGCGGUUAAUUAAGUUGGAUGUGAAAUCCCCGGGCUUAACCUGGGAAUGGCAUUCAAGACUGGUUAGCUAGAGUCUUGUAGAGGGGGGUUAGAAUUCCAUGUGUAGCGGUGAAAUGCGUAGAGAUGUGGAGGAAUACCGGUGGCGAAGGCGGCCCCUGGACAAAGACUGACGCUCAUGUGCGAAAGCGUGGGGAGCGAAACAGGGAUU